GAUGAACGCUGGCGGCGUGCCUAAUACAUGCAAGUCGAGCGAACGGACGAGAAGCUUGCUUCUCUGAUGUUAGCGGCGGACGGGUGAGUAACACGUGGAUAACCUACCUAUAAGACUGGGAUAACUUCGGGAAACCGUAGCUAAUACCGGAUAAUAUUUUGAACCGCAUGGUUCAAAAGUGAAAGACGGUCUUGCUGUCUCUUAUAGAUGGUUCCGCGCUGCAUUAGCUAGUUGGUAAGGUAACGGCUUACCAAGGCAACGAUGCAUAGCCGACCUGAGAGGGGGAUCGGCCACACUGGAACUGAGACACGGUCCAGACUCCUACGGGAGGCAGCAGUAGGGAAUCUUCCGCAAUGGGCGAAAGCCUGACGGAGCAACGCCGCGUGAGUGAUGAAGGUCUUCGGAUCGUAAAACUCUGUUAUUAGGGAAGAACAUAUGUGUAAGUAACUGUGCACAUCUUGACGGUACCUAAUCAGAAAGCCACGGCUAACUACGUG
RNAcentral lists this ribosomal RNA (497 nucleotides) under uncultured bacterium. RNAcentral's name for it is "partial 16S ribosomal RNA". It matches the Rfam family "Bacterial small subunit ribosomal RNA", at positions 28 to 507 of the family's 1533-position model. The record is from RNAcentral.